CAGUCGCCGCGGUAAUACGAAGGGGGCUAGCGUUGCUCGGAAUUACUGGGCGUAAAGGGAGCGUAGGCGGAUCGUUAAGUUGGGGGUGAAAGCCCGGGGCUCAACCUCGGAACUGCCUUCAGUACUGGCGAUCUUGAGUAUGAGAGAGGUGUGUGGAACUCCGAGUGUAGAGGUGAAAUUCGUAGAUAUUCGGGAGAACACCAGUGGCGAAGGCGACACACUGGCUCAUUACUGACGCUGAGGCUCGAAAGCGUGGGGAGCAAACAGGAUUAGAUACCCCGGUAGUCCCUGUCUCUUAUAC
This 301-nucleotide ribosomal RNA is filed under the name uncultured bacterium. RNAcentral's name for it is "partial 16S ribosomal RNA". It matches the Rfam family "Bacterial small subunit ribosomal RNA", at positions 509 to 807 of the family's 1533-position model. The record is from RNAcentral.